CGGGAAGGCCUUGGAAGGGUUAUGGAUAUUUUGUCAGGUAAAGGAUGGAGAAUUAGCCCAGUUCCUCCUUUCAUCCUUGUCAUUCAGAAUCCGCUGGGGAAGGAAGGAAGGAAGGAAGCUGACCCUCCUGAUAGGGAAUGAAGUGAAGGUCUCUGAGAGCUUUUCUGCUGAGGUUUCUUCCCUGGAGAACUCUAACAGACACUUGGGAUACAGAGCUCUGAGCAACAGGCAGCCACAGCAGGUGCCUUUCGCAACAAGGAAAGUCACUGGGGUCCAGAGGGUAAAGCUUAUCUCUUCCUCUCCAAAUAGCAUCUGAACUUGCAGGUUUGUCUGGACAAACAUGGAUCAAAGAGUGUAAUAAGGAUUGGAAGACACUAGGACAUCCCAGCGACUGGGAUGGAGAUGGGGGAGAUUAGGUGGAACAGUUAUUUGGAGGGCUGAACUCUUCUGUGUACACAUAUCCACAACAAGAUAUGCAAGGCAGGGUGGGGCUCCCUCCUGGGAGGAAAGCUGCUGUUUCCCUGCAGAGCCCGGUGGAUCGGCUAGGAGGCCACAGCUGCUGAGCCAUAGGAAAGGCCUGCCCGCAUCUGUGCUCACAUCUCCGUGUCCCCUUGGGUGGGGAUAAGAGGGCUCCACUUCCUCCAAGCUGUCACUGAAUCUUGCCAGUGCCCCCACGAAGCAGAAAGAUACUUCGUUAUUCCAUUCGGCUAUUCCCUGACGUGCUCCCUGUGCUGCUUCGGUACCUAAAGACCAUCGACGACGGAGAAGAAAACAAGUUUCGAUAAAAUGGGGGGGAAUAUUUGUGUGGUAUUUACUUUUCAGAAACAAGCCAUUACACCGGCUGCGGAAAAAGGCAAAAGCAAAUCGCACAAAAACGUCUCUCAAUGAAGGUAAAAUUCGGCCGUCUGCUACGGCGAGAGAUUUUAAAACAACUAGUCACCUGUCAAAUGUCUUAGUUAAUUAAAAAAGUAUCUUCCUUUAAAUUGUUCAGGGCUGCUAAGCUGUUUAAUAUCAAAGUGGGUUUUAGAUGCUACGCAACACUUUCGAAGAACAGACUACGGUCACCUAAAACGAUUUUAGUUGUGCUUCCACGUGAGAGGCACAUUAUUGAGUCAAUAAAAUGUCCCGUAGAGGUUCACAAAUCUCUCCAAAAUUGUGUUUACUUAACAUAAAUUAAUUCGUUUCGGACGUCGAAGAGCAUAUUAAAGUAGUAUUUCUCA
Columba livia (rock pigeon) is the source of this 1220-nucleotide long non-coding RNA. RefSeq lists it as uncharacterized. The transcript is spliced from 2 exons. NCBI's taxonomy places the organism in Eukaryota, Metazoa, Chordata, Aves, Columbiformes, Columbidae. The record is from RefSeq and is a predicted model, not a curated record.